UGGGGAAUAUUGCGCAAUGGCCUAACGGCUGACGCAGCGACGCCGCGUGUGGGAGGACGCCCCUCGGGGUGUAAACCACUGUUGCCCGGGACGAACAACUGGUUUCGACCAGUCUGACGGUACCGGGUGAGGAAGCACCGGCUAACUCCGUGCCAGCAGCCGCGGUAAUACGGAGGGUGCGAGCGUUGUCCGGAAUCACUGGGCGUAAAGGGCGCGUAGGUGGCCUGGUAAGUGUGUGGUGAAAGCCCGGGGCUCAACCCCGGGUCGGCCAUGCAAACUGCGAGGCUGGAGCACUGUAGAGGCAGGCGGAAUUCCGGGUGUAGCGGUGGAAUGCGUAGAGAUCCGGAAGAACACCGGUGGCGAAGGCGGCCUGCUGGGCAGUAGCUGACACUGAGGCGCGACAGCGUGGGGAGCAAACA
This 419-nucleotide ribosomal RNA is filed under the name uncultured Roseisolibacter sp. RNAcentral describes it as "bacterial SSU rRNA". It matches the Rfam family "Bacterial small subunit ribosomal RNA", at positions 355 to 774 of the family's 1533-position model. The record is from RNAcentral. Lineage: Bacteria; Pseudomonadati; Gemmatimonadota; Gemmatimonadia; Gemmatimonadales; Gemmatimonadaceae.